Molecule: ribosomal RNA, 370 nt
Filed under: uncultured organism
Description: partial 16S ribosomal RNA
Rfam family: Bacterial small subunit ribosomal RNA
Source: RNAcentral
GUAGGUGGCAAGCGUUGUCCGGAAUUAUUGGGCGUAAAGCGCGCGCAGGCGGUUCUUUAAGUCUGAUGUGAAAGCCACGGCUCAACCGUGGAGGGUCAUUGGAAACUGGAGAACUUGAGUACAGAAGAGGAAAGCGGAAUUCCACGUGUAGCGGUGAAAUGCGUAGAGAUGUGGAGGAACACCAGUGGCGAAGGCGGCUUUCUGGUCUGUAACUGACGCUGAGGCGCGAAAGCGUGGGGGAGCAAACAGGAUUAGAUACCCUGGUAGUCCACGCCGUAAACGAUGAGUGCUAAGUGUUAGGGGGUUUCCGCCCCUUAGUGCUGCAGCUAACGCAUUAAGCACUCCGCCUGGGAGUACGGCCGCAAGGCUG